AUGAACGCUGGCGGCGUGCCUAAUACCUGCCAGUCGAGCGAACAGACGAGGAGCUUGCUCCUCUGACGUUAGCGGCGGACGGGUGAGUAACACGUGGAUAACCUACCUAUAAGACUGGGAUAACUUCGGGAAACCGGAGCUAAUACCGGAUAAUAUAUUGAACCGCCUGGUUCAAUAGUGAAAGACGGUUUUGCUGUCACUUAUAGAUGGAUCCGCGCCGCAUUAGCUAGUUGGUAAGGUAACGGCUUACCAAGGCAACGAUGCGUAGCCGACCUGAGAGGGUGAUCGGCCACACUGGAACUGAGACACGGUCCAGACUCCUACGGGAGGCAGCAGUAGGGAAUCUUCCGCAAUGGGCGAAAGCUUGACGGAGCAACGCCGCGUGAGUGAUGAAGGUCUUCGGAUCGUAAAACUCUGUUAUUAGGGAAGAACAAAUGUGUAAGUAACUAUGCACGUCUUGACGGUACCUAAUCAGAAAGCCACGGCUAACUACGUG
This 496-nucleotide ribosomal RNA is filed under the name uncultured bacterium. RNAcentral's name for it is "partial 16S ribosomal RNA". It matches the Rfam family "Bacterial small subunit ribosomal RNA", at positions 29 to 507 of the family's 1533-position model. The record is from RNAcentral.